GUACACUCCUGCGGGAGGCAGCAGUGGGGAAUUUUGGACAAUGGGCGAAAGCCUGAUCCAGCCAUGCCGCGUGCAGGAUGAAGGCCUUCGGGUUGUAAACUGCUUUUGUACGGAACGAAACGGCCUUUUCUAAUAAAGAGGGCUAAUGACGGUACCGUAAGAAUAAGCACCGGCUAACUACGUGCCAGCAGCCGCGGUAAUAAGUAGGGUGCAAGCGUUAAUCGGAAUUACUGGGCGUAAAGCGUGCGCAGGCGGUUAUGUAAGACAGUUGUGAAAUCCCCGGGCUCAACCUGGGAACUGCAUCUGUGACUGCAUAGCUAGAGUACGGUAGAGGGGGAUGGAAUUCCGCGUGUAGCAGUGAAAUGCGUAGAUAUGCGGAGGAACACCGAUGGCGAAGGCAAUCCCCUGGACCUGUACUGACGCUCAUGCACGAAAGCGUGGGGAGCAAACAGGAUUAGAUACCCUUGUAGUCCCAUG
Molecule: ribosomal RNA, 477 nt
Filed under: uncultured organism
Description: partial 16S ribosomal RNA
Rfam family: Bacterial small subunit ribosomal RNA
Source: RNAcentral